UACGGAGGGUGCAAGCGUUAAUCGGAAUUACUGGGCGUAAAGGGCACGCAGGUGGCUUGGCAAGUCGGAUGUGAAAGCCCCGGGCUUAACUUGGGAAUGGCAUUCGAUACUGCCGAGCUAGAGUAUGGGAGAGGAAAGCGGAAUUCCCGGUGUAGCGGUGAAAUGCGUAGAUAUCGGGAGGAACAUCAGUGGCGAAGGCGGCUUUCUGGCCCAAUACUGACACUCAUGUGCGAAAGCGUGGGGAGCAAACAGG
Molecule: ribosomal RNA, 253 nt
Filed under: uncultured bacterium
Lineage: Bacteria
Description: partial 16S ribosomal RNA
Rfam family: Bacterial small subunit ribosomal RNA
Source: RNAcentral